Molecule: long non-coding RNA, 909 nt
Organism: Daphnia pulex (common water flea)
Lineage: Eukaryota; Metazoa; Arthropoda; Branchiopoda; Diplostraca; Daphniidae
Exons: 3
Source: RefSeq, a predicted model, not a curated record
UAAUGAAAAAACCUUUUCCAGGUUUCUACUUUUGAUGGUUUAGCAAUCGACGGCUACCCGAUUGUUCGAUUGCCAUAAAUUAUUUGAAUAACAUUGAUUUUGUAGACGAAGCGGUAAUGGAAUUCUUUUGGAUCGACAAGUUCGUUUUAAAUUUCCUAAUGCAUAAUUCAAAGACAAGAGGAAGAACCCAAGAUAAGAAAAAUUGAUAUUCGAGCGUUGCCAAAUUCUUAUUGGAUAUUCCCAUCCUCCUGUUGCGUCUUGUUAUUGCUCUUUACCCGUCUUGCUCUGACAGCGGGAAACAAAAGCAGACCGCUCCUCCAUCACUCAAAUAGUCAAAUGUUUAGAUAGAAAGACAUCUUAAUUAUUUAUUCUUACCCUAUAAUCGUGGCGCCGAAUCGUGUUUUCGUGUGUUGUUCCCAGUUUCACAUAAAAAUGACCAACAUUGGCCCAUCCUGAAAAGUUCGUCGAAUGGGACAAGCGUCACUAUGGGUAUACUGAUUUCCUGCUAUGAUUCAUGCUGCAGGCCAAAGAUUGCCAAUGGAGAAUCCAUCAACCCUUAUGCAUCGGCUUACAGAAGACAGUCGGAACAAGAUGUUUUGAGGGAGAGGCAAAUGCGAGAUGAAGUCUGUGGCCUGCUUGUUCCAUCCCCAUCAAAGUGCAGUACUGCUAGAAAUGCACCUAUCAUAAAAAAACCAGAAAAAGGAAUGAUGUAUUAUUCAUGCACCACCUACGAAUUUGUGAAGUAGUUUCUUAUCUCUGCUCAAAGAUUACCUUUAAUUCUCAACCAUGUCCUUCUCCAUGUGUCACUGCAGGUAAUCUGUGAUUAUUUCCUUGUGCUUUUUUCCAUGAAAACAUGACAAGUUGUAUAAACCAUUUGACAGAAAUCCACAUUUCAGAAGGAAACAAGAA